Molecule: non-coding RNA, 21 nt
Filed under: Rattus norvegicus (Norway rat)
Lineage: Eukaryota; Metazoa; Chordata; Mammalia; Rodentia; Muridae
Source: RNAcentral
UCCGCCUGUGAUAAGAAUCAA